RNAcentral lists this small RNA (292 nucleotides) under Hansschlegelia beijingensis. RNAcentral describes it as "5' ureB small RNA". It matches the Rfam family "5' ureB small RNA". The record is from Rfam by way of RNAcentral. Lineage: Bacteria; Pseudomonadati; Pseudomonadota; Alphaproteobacteria; Hyphomicrobiales; Methylopilaceae.
CAGCCCCUGCUGCGGCGAGAUGUAGUGGACAUGCGCGUCGAUGCCGCCCGCGGUGAGGAUGAGGUGCUCGCCCGAGAUGGCGUCGGUCCCCGGUCCGAGCGCAAGACCCGGGGUCACGCCGGACAUGAUGGACGGGUUGCCGGCCUUGCCGAUGCCGCAGAUCAGCCCGUUCUUGACCCCGACAUCGGCCUUGACGACGCCCUGGAUGGCGUCGAGCACGGUGACAUUGGUGAUGAUGAGAUCGGGCGCGCCGGCCGCGCUGGUGAGUUCGUUGUCGAAGCCCAUUCCGUCG